This is a long non-coding RNA of Pogoniulus pusillus (Red-fronted tinkerbird), 928 nucleotides long. RefSeq lists it as uncharacterized. NCBI's taxonomy places the organism in Eukaryota, Metazoa, Chordata, Aves, Piciformes, Lybiidae. The record is from RefSeq and is a predicted model, not a curated record. The transcript has 6 exons.
GAAGAAACAGCAGGCUGGAGCAGAAAGAGGCAGGAUAGCAAGAAAUAGCAGGCUGGAGCAGAAAGAAGCAGGUGUACACAGAUAUAUAAGCACACAGGCACAAGCUUGUUCUAGCUGCUCCUAGUUGUGUGUAAGGGUGCUGACUGUGAAUCAAGUGGGAGCAGAGACACCUGGAACAGGGAAAGGAUUUGGAGAAGAAGCAUCUAUAUUGUCACCGUUGGCUCAGGAAGACCAGUACUUCUGAUUCAAGGGUCUGCGGGGAAGCUAAGGGUGGAAUGGUUCUAGAGAUGCUGAAGACUGCAGGGACAAAAGAGGGAGAGGCAAGAGGAAGGACACAGUCAAAUGUGAAAUGACAGAAAGGCUCAAGCUGCAAGAAGGCAACCUGCAGUGGAUUACUGAGCCAGCUGCCGUUCUGCUGGAGGGAUGACCGACUUCUAACACUUCCUCCGCGCUCCACCCCCACUCUUUGGUUCUUGGUGUCAACAGGGCUCAAAGUGUUUAAAUUCUUUUACACACAGUCCUCCUUCACACCAGCCGUACAACAAGGCGGACUGUUAAGGGUGAAUAUGCUGGAAGCGGUUAAUUCUGAAGAGCACUUUUUGUUGUUGGGUUUUGCAUCUGAAAAGAUUUAGUCUAUUGCGUUUGAAUGUUUGCGGGGACUGAAGAAUUUUCUGUGGCCAAAGUAGUAAUUCUUUGCUGGGUUAGAACGAAAACACACAUACAAAAAAAAUGAAUGUUUGUUAUUUUUCUCCUUAUAUUUGAUCAAGUGUAUUACAUCCUGCCUUGUCUUGUACAUAGCAGUCACAAUAGCACCUACUGGUCUCACUGAGAGAUUGAAGCUCCACUGUGUGAGGUAGUGGACACAAGGCUGAUGAAAAUCAGGCUUCUCUUCUGUAAAGAUUUUGUCCCCUAAAUAAAGGUGGAUCAG